Lolium perenne is the source of this 1507-nucleotide long non-coding RNA. RefSeq lists it as uncharacterized. The record is from RefSeq and is a predicted model, not a curated record. Lineage: Eukaryota; Viridiplantae; Streptophyta; Magnoliopsida; Poales; Poaceae.
UUGGGGAAUUUAGGAGCCGUUCACCCUAGUUAAUCCUAUGGUGGGAAAAUCAGUAGUACUGAAAAGAACUGAAAAUUAAGUACUGGAAAGUACUGGUAAGUACUGAAAUUAUUUAUUUAUUUUAAUUUAAUAAAAGGGCAGUUAUGUAAUUCACGUCCAGAUGCACUCCAUCCUCUGACUUCUCCCUCCUCUCGUCGCCGCUCCAUCCCAUUCCCAUCGCACCAUGGAGUCGGCCGCCGCCCUGUCGCCUCCCCUGGCCGCCUCCCUGAUGCUGACGCCCCGUUCUCCCCUCCCAACACAACCCCCUCCCCGCCGGAAUACUGCCUCGCCGCCCGUCCGCGCUCGCUCACUACCACCACCCCCUAGCCCCUGCAAAAAUUCCCCUUCCCGACAGCCCUCUCUGGCCGCCACUCCGGCACCGUGCUGGACGGUGGCCACACCUCGUACCGUGCCGUGCAGCUCCGCGCGGGAUUCGUUGCCCAUGACGACGUGAUCCACCCGCAGCUCAUCGCCUGCAAGACGUGGAGCUCUCCAACUACCUCCAGGUCACCACCGGUGGACCGCCGGGGCGAGGCAAAGUAGUUGUAGCCAGAUGUAGCCAUCGAGCGUGGCAUAGAAGUUGCGGGUGUCCGGGCCGCCACAGGACUAGCCGCCUGCUCUACAUCGCGCCAGGCCAAGGCAGACGAGGUGGAGCCCAUGGUAGCCGCCAAGCGCGGUGUCGAAGUUGGGGGUGGCCAGCGCGACGUGUCAGAGGCACUGGUGGCGGUGACGAUGAUGAUCAGGUGCUAUCUCAGCAAGAAUGGUUGCUUCGCCAAGGUGAAUGGAUCCCCGUCCUGAAUGGAGCUAGUGUUCGUUGAUUACAAUGGUUGCUUGACCAAGGUGAAUGGAUCCCUGUCCUGAAUGGAGCUAGUGUUCGUUGAUUACAAUGGUUGCUUGGCCAAGGGACCAUGGAUUCAAAGGUGUGUCACAACAAUGUGGGGGUGGAUACACAUGUGCAUCACGAGGGUGACGAUAUGGACAAGAGGGUGCAGUGCGAGCGUGAUGAGAUGGACAAGAAGGUGAGGCAAGAAAUUGCAGCCAUGGACAGGGUGAUGAAGCAGGAGUGCAAGAAGCUGGAGCGGAAGUUCAAAAGCACGAGGAGAUGGACCGGAAGGUGAUGGAAGAACAUCCGGCCACGGAUCGGGUGUUGAAGUAGGAGCAUGAGAAAUUGGAGAAAGAUGGGUCGUCACCAAGGACGGAGCAACCUGAACUGAACACUCAUAAGAGGGCAUUGAACUUUAUCAGUUCCGAUGAGCACAUGCACACAUAGUCUCUACUCUUGUUGACAAAAACUGUAAUUCAACCACUCAUCUUUGUUCACUUUACCCUACACAGAUUACUCUACUCCUAUUUGUGAUUUUACAGAUGAUAUUUGGGUGCUAUUUUUUAGUAUUUUUAUUCUGAACAAAUGUGGGUGCGAAUGGUUAAAACUUUUAUGAGCAGUUCAACUGCUAGAUUGUUUUCAUAA